AUUGAACGCUGGCGGCAGGCCUAACACAUGCAAGUCGAACGAGUGGCGGACGGGUGAGUAAUGUCUGGGAAACUGCCUGAUGGAGGGGGAUAACUACUGGAAACGGUAGCUAAUACCGCAUACCAUCGGAUGUGCCCAGAUGGGAUUAGCUAGUAGGUGGGGUAAAGGCUCACCUAGGCGACGAUCCCUAGCUGGUCUGAGAGGAUGACCAGCCACACGGGGACUGAGACACGGUCCAGAAUCCUACGGGAGGCAGCAGUGGGGGAGUGUGCACAAUGGGCGCAACUCUGAUGCUGCCGUGCCGCGUGGCUGAAGAAGGCCUUCGGGUUGUAAAGUCCUUUCUGCGGUGAAGCGUUCCCCGCAGAAGAAGCACCGGCUAACUCCGUGCCAGCAGCCGCGGUAAUUC
This 406-nucleotide ribosomal RNA is filed under the name uncultured bacterium. RNAcentral's name for it is "partial 16S ribosomal RNA". It matches the Rfam family "Bacterial small subunit ribosomal RNA", at positions 30 to 526 of the family's 1533-position model. The record is from RNAcentral.